RNAcentral lists this microRNA precursor (1984 nucleotides) under Manduca sexta (tobacco hornworm). Lineage: Eukaryota; Metazoa; Arthropoda; Insecta; Lepidoptera; Sphingidae. The record is from RNAcentral.
ACGACGCAGUAUUUAGUGGAGGUAAGUAAUUUUAUUGAUUUUAUCAUUGUUAAACAUUGUUCACGUCAUGUUAUUGAUUAUUUUGCAACCGGCUUUGGAACUGUUUUAUGUACAAAUUUUGGCAUUUUGGCAUAGGUGUGGUUAUAUAAAUAUAGCUAAUUAAUGUAUCUUGAAAAUAAUAUAUUUGUUGUGCAGAGUAAAGGUAAAAUUGAAAAAACAUAACCACGACGCGGAGUGUCACAAAGUAGGUUACUUGUAGUAAAACUUCAGUUGCAGAUGGGAUAAAUAACUAAUGCUCAGUGAACGCAACCGUAUUCACGGCCGCUAUAGUUCUGGUUGUAAACAUCAUUACAGGUGUACAUCUCCUUUGAGUAAACCCUUCGGCUGAAACAAUUGGUACCAACAUGAAGAGGGACGCGUAUGGGGACGAGGGUCCCGCGCAGAAGCGGCAGCGGCAUUCAGACGACGAGGUCACAUUUCUCAUACCAAGCAAGGUGGCUGGUUCAAUCAUUGGAAAAGGUGGCACCAAUAUAUCAAAACUGAGAAACCAGUACAAAGCCUCUAUAACAGUCCCAGAUUGCCCCGGCCCCGAACGGGUGUUAUCAAUAACGGCUGAAGAUGUGGACACGCUUCUUGAAAUUGUCAAAGAAAUAUUGCCAUGUUUGGCGGAAGGAGGGCCCAAGGCCAUGGGCGACCAGGACCUGGACGUGCGUCUACUAAUCCACCAGAGCCGCGCCGGCUGCGUGAUCGGCAAGGCCGGCGCCAAGAUCAAGGAACUGCGCGAGAAAACCGGCGCCCGCUUGAAGAUAUUCUCUAGUCCGGCGCCUCAGAGCAUGGAGCGCAUCGUGCAGCUGGUGGGCAAGCCCGACGCCAUCGCCGCCGGCAUCCGAGAGGUGCUCGAACUCAUACGCCAGGUGCCAAUCAAAGGUCCAAUCCAGAACUACGAUCCGCACAAUUAUGACGAUUACUACGCGGACCAAUACGGAGGGUUCGGAGCCGGGCAGGGUGGCGGCGGUGGCGGCGGCGGCGGUCGUCCUCCCCGCGGCAUGCCGCCCAUGGGCCCCGCCGGCCGGCCCCCGCCGCGCGGACCCCCGCCCGCGCGCAACGGCCCACCACCUCCGCGCACUGGCUUUAACGACUUCUCCGGCCCUGGACCACGAGCUAACUUCAGCGGCGGUCCCCCGCGCGGAGGCUUUGGUGGCGGCAGCUUCGGAGGGAACUUCGGAGGCGGUGGCGGUGGAGGCCGCAGCUCCGGUUCUGGCGGCGGAAACUUCAACGGUAGCUCGGUCAACCAGCAGGAGACCACCACACAAGUUACCAUUCCCAAAGAUUUGGCGGGCGCCAUUAUAGGCAAGGCGGGGUCUCGCAUCCGCAAGAUCCGCGCGGAGAGCGGCGCCGGCAUAGAGAUCGCGGAGCCUCUGCCCGGCUCCAGCGACCGCAUCAUCACCAUCACGGGCACGCCGCAGCGCAUACAGAUGGCGCAGUACCUCUUGCAACAAAGUGUGCACGAGAGCAACCCGAAUCUCGGCCGAAACUUCUGAUUCGAGGACAUAUUGAAUCGUAUGUUGCUGCUGUAACUUGUAAGGUUUAAUAAACCACCUCAUAUCACGUGAUUGAUUCUGUAACUGUAUAGUGUAACGCGAGGCUCUCGUUUAUAAUGGCGUGUAAAGUCUGACCUGGAAACAACCGAAAAAAAAAAGACAAAGGAUAAAUUUGUUUUGUAAAUAGACUUGUUUGUGCGUUUCUAUUUUAUUAUCACAAAUAAUUUUAUCUAUGUUUGGAACAACUGAUUAUUGAAAUAUAUUUUCACAUUUCCAGAUCAGACUUCACACAAAACGUAAGAAUGCAUUUAUCAUUAUAUACAUAAUAUUAUUAAAAGAGAAUUAUCUAAGAUUGUGUCAAUGAUUUACUGAUUUAUUUGUUACAUUACAUCGAUGUAAUUUUAAGUGAUAGGUAAUAGAAAUUAAACGAAGUUUAUUUUAUG